AAAGGAGUACAGGUAAUCGCUGGUGAUCUGCGCUACGCAGACACGAGAGGAAAGUCCGGGCUCCACAGGGCGAUGGUGGUCGUUAAUGGCGACCGGGGGAAACCCCAGGGAAAGUGCCACAGAAAACAGACCGCUAUCCUAUAGGGUUAGCAAGGGUGAAACGGCGAGGUAAGAGCUCACCAGUUCCCCGGGUGACCGGGGAAGCUAGGUAAACCCCACCUGGAGCAAGACCAAAAGAGGGGCUUAUGGGGCUGCCCGUCCCGCCCCUGGGUAGGUCGCUGGAGGCGGCAGGCAACUGCCGUCCUAGAUGAAUGAUUACCGAUAAGGAACCAGGGAAACCUGUUCCUUAUAACAGAACCCGGCUUACGGACUUCUUCUGAC
RNAcentral lists this RNase P RNA (381 nucleotides) under Deltaproteobacteria bacterium. RNAcentral describes it as "RNase P RNA component class A". It matches the Rfam family "Bacterial RNase P class A". From Rfam's summary of the family: Ribonuclease P (RNase P) is a ubiquitous endoribonuclease, found in archaea, bacteria and eukarya as well as chloroplasts and mitochondria. The record is from RNAcentral. Lineage: Bacteria; Pseudomonadati; Myxococcota; Myxococcia.